This 226-nucleotide ribosomal RNA is filed under the name Escherichia coli. RNAcentral's name for it is "partial 23S ribosomal RNA". It matches the Rfam family "Bacterial large subunit ribosomal RNA", at positions 2717 to 2925 of the family's 2925-position model. Lineage: Bacteria; Pseudomonadati; Pseudomonadota; Gammaproteobacteria; Enterobacterales; Enterobacteriaceae. RNAcentral also lists the same sequence under 6 other names. The record is from RNAcentral.
CGGGUUGUCAUGCCAAUGGCACUGCCCGGUAGCUAAAUGCGGAAGAGAUAAGUGCUGAAAGCAUCUAAGCACGAAACUUGCCCCGAGAUGAGUUCUCCCUGAGACUUAGAGUCUCCUGAAGGAACGUUGAAGACGACGACGUUGAUAGGCCGGGUGUGUAAGCGCAGCGAUGCGUUGAGCUAACCGGUACUAAUGAACCGUGAGGCUUAACCUUACAACGCCGAAG